This 739-nucleotide ribosomal RNA is filed under the name uncultured bacterium. RNAcentral's name for it is "bacterial SSU rRNA". It matches the Rfam family "Bacterial small subunit ribosomal RNA", at positions 8 to 796 of the family's 1533-position model. The record is from RNAcentral.
AGAGUUUGAUCCUGGCUCAGAACGAACGCUGGCGGCAGGCUUAACACAUGCAAGUCGAACGCACCGCAAGGUGAGUGGCAGACGGGUGAGUAACGCGUGGGAACGUGCCCUUCAGUUCGGGAUAACCCAGGGAAACUUGGGCUAAUACCGGAUACGUGCGAGAGCAGAAAGAUUCAUCGCUGAAGGAUCGGCCCGCGUCUGAUUAGCUAGUUGGUAGGGUAAUGGCCUACCAAGGCGACGAUCAGUAGCUGGUCUGAGAGGAUGAUCAGCCACAUUGGGACUGAGACACGGCCCAAACUCCUACGGGAGGCAGCAGUGGGGAAUAUUGGACAAUGGGCGCAAGCCUGAUCCAGCCAUGCCGCGUGAGUGAUGAAGGCCUUAGGGUUGUAAAGCUCUUUCGUCCGGGACGAUAAUGACGGUACCGGAAGAAGAAGCCCCGGCUACUUCGUGCCAGCAGCCGCGGUAAUACGAAGGGGGCUAGCGUUGUUCGGAAUCACUGGGCGUAAAGGGCGCGUAGGCGGCCUGAUAAGUCGGGGGUGAAAGCCUGUGGCUCAACCACAGAAUUGCCUUCGAUACUGUCGGGCUUGAGACCGGAAGAGGUAAGUGGAACUGCGAGUGUAGAGGUGAAAUUCGUAGAUAUUCGCAAGAACACCAGUGGCGAAGGCGGCUUACUGGUCCGGUUCUGNNNNUGAGGCGCGAAAGCGUGGGGAGCAAACAGGAUUAGAUACCCUAGUAGUCC